Molecule: ribosomal RNA, 388 nt
Filed under: Solenicola sp.
Lineage: Eukaryota; Bigyra; Nanomonadea
Description: SSU rRNA
Rfam family: Eukaryotic small subunit ribosomal RNA
Source: RNAcentral
AGCUCCAAUAGCGUAUAUUAAUGUUGUUGCAGUUAAAAAGCUCGUAGUUGGAUUUCUGGAUCGAGCGCUCUGUCCGUCGCUGUGCGAUGCGUACUUGAGUCGUCUCGUUUCAUCCUUGCAGGGAAGCGCGUUCGACAUUUGUUUGUCGACGCGGGGAACUGCAUCUUUUACUGUGAAAAAAUUAGAGUGUUUAAAGCAGGCAUUUUGCUGUGAAUACAUUAGCAUGGAAUAAUAACAUAGGACCCUGGUUCUAUUUUGUUGGUUGGAGGCCAAGGUAAUGAUUAAUAGGGACAGUUGGGGGUAUUCAUAUUUAAUUGUCAGAGGUGAAAUUCUUGGAUUUAUGAAAGAUGAACUCAUGCGAAAGCAUUUACCAAGGAUGUUUUCAUUA